Passer domesticus (house sparrow) is the source of this 284-nucleotide long non-coding RNA. RefSeq lists it as uncharacterized. The transcript has 3 exons. Lineage: Eukaryota; Metazoa; Chordata; Aves; Passeriformes; Passeridae. The record is from RefSeq and is a predicted model, not a curated record.
GGGCACAAGCAGACUCAACCUGGGAAGGCAGAGAGUCCAGCAAUCUGACAGAAAAAUGCAGUCAUUGCUUCCUUCUCUUGUUACAUUUCAGUUCUCUAAAUUGAUGAAUAGCCCCAUACUAAAGCCUGGAUUGGGAGAAACACUGAGUGACCACAGCUUGGGAAGGUUCCUUACUGAAAAGAGGUUUGAAAAUCAAGAGCUCACACCAAGUCCUGAUCUUGAAUCUGUGAGUGAACCUGGAGACACCCGACCCCUGACACUUUGCAGAAUGCUAUAGAGGUGGU